UGGCAGACGGGUGAGUAAUGUAUAGGAAUCUACCUAGUAGUACGGAAUAAUUGUUGGAAACGGCAACUAAUACCGUAUACGCCCUACGGGGGAAAAAUUUAUUGCUAUUAGAUGAGCCUAUAUUAGAUUAGCUAGUUGGUGGAGUAAUAGCCUACCAAGGCAAUGAUCUAUAGCUGAUCUGAGAGGAUGAUCAGCCACACUGGAACUGAGAUACGGUCCAGACUCCUACGGGAGGCAGCAGUGGGGAAUAUUGGACAAUGGGCGAAAGCCUGAUCCAGCCAUGCCGCAUGAGUGAAGAAGGCCUUUGGGUUGUAAAGCUCUUUUAGUGAGGAAGAUAAUGACGGUACUCACAGAAGAAGUCCUGGCUAACUCCGUGCCAGCAGCCGCGGUAAUACAGAGAGGGCUAGCGUUGUUCG
This 416-nucleotide ribosomal RNA is filed under the name Wolbachia endosymbiont of Haematobia irritans. Its description in RNAcentral is "bacterial SSU rRNA". It matches the Rfam family "Bacterial small subunit ribosomal RNA", at positions 96 to 547 of the family's 1533-position model. The record is from RNAcentral. Lineage: Bacteria; Pseudomonadati; Pseudomonadota; Alphaproteobacteria; Rickettsiales; Anaplasmataceae.